UACAGAGGGGGCAAGCGUUGCUCGGAAUUACUGGGCGUAAAGGGCGCGUAGGCGGCCUGCUAAGUCGAACGUGAAAUCCCUGGGCUCAACCCAGGAACUGCGUCCGAUACUGGUUGGCUUGAAUCCGGGAGAGGGAUGUGGAAUUCCAGGUGUAGCGGUGAAAUGCGCAGAUAUCUGGAGGAACACCGGUGGCGAAGGCGACAUCCUGGACCGGUAUUGACGCUGAGGCGCGAAAGCGUGGGGAGCAAACAGG
RNAcentral lists this ribosomal RNA (253 nucleotides) under uncultured bacterium. Its description in RNAcentral is "partial 16S ribosomal RNA". It matches the Rfam family "Bacterial small subunit ribosomal RNA", at positions 524 to 776 of the family's 1533-position model. The record is from RNAcentral.